RNAcentral lists this ribosomal RNA (405 nucleotides) under Chloridella neglecta. Its description in RNAcentral is "eukaryotic LSU rRNA". It matches the Rfam family "Eukaryotic large subunit ribosomal RNA", at positions 1 to 402 of the family's 3401-position model. The record is from RNAcentral. Lineage: Eukaryota; Xanthophyceae; Mischococcales; Pleurochloridaceae.
GGACCUCCAAUCAAGCAGGGCUACCCGCUGAAUUUAAGCAUAUAACUAAGCGGAGGAAAAGAAACUAACCAGGAUUCCCUCAGUAACGGCGAGUGAAGCGGGAACAGCUCACCAUGAGAAUCUGAAAGGUUUUGCCUUUCCGAGUUGUAGUCUCUAGAAGCGCAGCCAGCAGACGGAGAGGGUUAAGUCCCUUGGAACAGGGCGCCUGAGAGGGUGACAGUCCCGUUCAUACUCUCUCCAUUCUGCGUACGGCGUGCUCUCAGUGAGUCGAGUUGCUUGGGAUUGCAGCUCAAAGUGGGUGGUAAAUUCCAUCUAAGGCUAAAUAUGGGUGGGAGACCGAUAGCGAACAAGUACUGUGAAGGAAAGAUGCAAAGAACUUUGAAAAGAGAGUUAAAGAGUGCCUGA